RNAcentral lists this transfer-messenger RNA (385 nucleotides) under bacterium. It matches the Rfam family "transfer-messenger RNA". From Rfam's summary of the family: Bacterial tmRNA, also known as 10Sa RNA or SsrA, is named for its dual tRNA and mRNA-like properties. The record is from RNAcentral.
GGGGUUGCAAGGCAUAGACAGUUGGACAUAGUCUUUUGAUGCAUGUCGAGCAUGAACAUAAUCUCGUAAAAAUUUGUUCACAUGUUAAUUGCAAAAUUGACUGCUAAGACAAUUUCUCCAUACUUUAGUAUGAAGAAUUUUGUUCCAGCAUACGCUUUAGCGUAACUGGCGUCUUUACCAUAGACUUCCGAUAUAUGGCUAAAGGUGUAAUAUUAUCGGGACAAGGGGAUAGGGUGUUCGUCUAUUCCACUAAAAUUUAGAACUCGAUUAAAAAAUAUUUGGUUUGCUUAAGAAUUUUUUAAUCUAAAACAAAAAGCACACUACACAUGUAGACUUCAAGGGCGAUACCUUCUGCACGGGGAUUCAAUUUCCCCCAACUCCACCA